RNAcentral lists this ribosomal RNA (485 nucleotides) under Oncaea venusta. Its description in RNAcentral is "bacterial SSU rRNA". It matches the Rfam family "Eukaryotic small subunit ribosomal RNA", at positions 1303 to 1811 of the family's 1831-position model. Lineage: Eukaryota; Metazoa; Arthropoda; Copepoda; Poecilostomatoida; Oncaeidae. The record is from RNAcentral.
GGAGUGAUAUGUUUGGUUUAUUCCGAUAACGAACGAGACUCUUUUAUGCUAAAUAGGUUGCCGUCUUCUCUGCGGUAAACAUUCUUAUUAGAGAGACAGGCGGCGUCUAGCCGCACGAGAUUGAGCAAUACCAGGUCUGUGAUGCCCUGAGAUGUUCUGGGCUGCACACGCGCUACAUUGAAUGGAUCAGCGUGUUUUCCCUUCCCGAGAGGGACGGGUAACCCGCUGAACCCCGUUCGUUGUAGGGAUCGGAGCUUGCAAUUAUUAUCCGUGAACCAGGAAUUCCCAGUAAGCGCAAGUCAUAAGCUUGCGUCGAUUACGUCCCUGCCCUUCGUACACACCGCCCGUCGAUACUACCGAUUGAACGUUUUAGUGAGAAAUCNGGAUUCGACCUCCGNGGGUUCAUUCCCACAGUGCUGUNGGAGAAGUUUNUCAAACCUGAGCGUUCAGAGGAAGUAAAAGUCGUAACAAGGUUUCCGUAGGUG